CCACCUCCCGACCCACGCCCGCCGGCCUCACCCCAGACCCCGCGCGGCGAGCUCGAUCCACCCCGUUGGCCUCCCCCCAGACCCGCGCGCCCUGCCACCAACCACCUCCCACCGGCGGCCACCAGCCCCAACGCCUCACCCGCCGCCGCCACCCCCUCCCCCGGCCCAACGCGCCUCCUUGCGCUGCCGAACCCCCGCACUACCGCGCGCCCGCCAGAUCCCCGGAGUCCCGGGCGCCGCCAGAUCCCCCGAGUCCCGUGCGCCGCUGAGACCCGACAUCCCAGCGCAUGCCGCGCCGCGAUUUGGUUCGGUCCUGACGAGUUUUCUUGGUUGCCGUCGCAGAGGUGGUGAGCGGCUUCCUCUCCAAUGCGGCGUCGGCGGUGUUGAAGCGGAUGUGGUCGCUCAAAUCGACCGUCAAGACAGCGAGUGGAGCCAAGUCCAUGGUCAAGUACGAGGGCGGCUACACCGUGGAGACGGUCUUCGACGGCAGCAAGCUGGGGAUCGAGUCGUACGCCGUCGAGGUCACCCAGGGUGGCGAGCUGCUCGUCAUGGAUUCCAUGAACAGCAACAUCUACCGGAUCGCGCUGUCACUGUCCUGAUAGACCUAUGUGCUGCUGGUGCUCGCUACCCGCGUGAACAUAGAAAUGAAGGUCACCAUCAGGUAGGGGAGAAGAUCACAUGAUGUGCAGAAAGAAGGUAAAACUGCAGGGGAGAACCGGUCCUCGCCCGUGCCAUUGGUGUGGUUAUCUCCCCUGAAUGAGCAGUAGUGCUCACGUGUAGCUCUCCCUCUAUGGUUCUUUAUCCCCUGUUUGUGGUUAUGCUUAACCUUGUAAACAAUUCAAUGUAUGAACUAUACCUCUAUUGCUCAUGCGUGUACAAUGCCUGCUAGAUGAAGCUCAAUGUGCGAAAAAUAUGGUUUUUGUUUC
Non-coding RNA from Aegilops tauschii subsp. strangulata, 926 nucleotides. Lineage: Eukaryota; Viridiplantae; Streptophyta; Magnoliopsida; Poales; Poaceae. The record is from RefSeq and is a predicted model, not a curated record.